CUAGGAGGCUGUUUUGAGGUGUCUCUGAAGACUUCUCUGCUCCAGGCUGAACAACUCCAACUCUCUCAUCCUGUCGUCAUAGGAGAGGUACUCCAGCC
Corapipo altera (White-ruffed manakin) is the source of this 98-nucleotide long non-coding RNA. RefSeq lists it as uncharacterized. The transcript has 3 exons. Lineage: Eukaryota; Metazoa; Chordata; Aves; Passeriformes; Pipridae. The record is from RefSeq and is a predicted model, not a curated record.